Molecule: long non-coding RNA, 421 nt
Filed under: Homo sapiens (human)
Lineage: Eukaryota; Metazoa; Chordata; Mammalia; Primates; Hominidae
Description: HSALNT0405564
Source: RNAcentral
GGGAAUUCAGCAGGAAAGAAGUCUGACACACUGGCUGCCCUUUAGUGAAGGAGGCAUUUUAAGUAAACAAUGACAGUGUGAUGUCAUAAGUGCCACAGUGGUGGAGCACAGCAUAAGGCCACUGGGCACCGCAGCCUGAGGGAAUAAUACCUGAACAGAGAGAGAAGCAGUAAAUGAACCCUGUGGCAGGGGAACCACUCAUGGCUAUUAAGGACAGAUGCCUCCAGAAUAUGAGUACAAGGAUAUGAAUACAGCACUGUUUAUAACAGAGAAAAUAUAGAAAUCUGCUACGUGCCUCUUAGGGAGAUGGUCAUUAAAGGAGCUCUGAAUAACCAUACAAUGGAAUGAUAUGUGUAGCUGCUCAUCAACAGACCGCCUAACCCAGAAAUUAAAUCUGUUGACAAAUUUGCCUGUAUUGUCU